RNAcentral lists this transfer RNA (76 nucleotides) under Puniceicoccales bacterium. RNAcentral's name for it is "tRNA-Gly". It matches the Rfam family "tRNA". From Rfam's summary of the family: Transfer RNA (tRNA) molecules are approximately 80 nucleotides in length. Their secondary structure includes four short double-helical elements and three loops (D, anti-codon, and T loops). Lineage: Bacteria; Pseudomonadati; Verrucomicrobiota; Opitutia; Puniceicoccales. The record is from RNAcentral.
GCGAGCGUAGCUCAAUUGGCAGAGUGUCACCUUCCCAAGGUGAAUGUUGAGGGUUCGAGUCCCUUCGCUCGCUCCA